UCAGGAUGAACGCUGGCGGCGUGCCUAACACAUGCAAGUCGAACGGAGAUUUAACGCUGAUGAGACUUCGGUCAAUUCUUGUCAAAUCUUAGUGGCGGACGGGUGAGUAACGCGUGGGCAACCUGCCUCGUACUGGGGGAUAACAGUUGGAAACGACUGUUAAUACCGCAUAAGCGCACGGUGUCGCAUGACACAGUGUGAAAAACUCCGGUGGUACGAGAUGGGCCCGCGUCAGAUUAGCCAGUUGGUGGGGUAACGGCCUACCAAAGCAACGAUCUGUAGCCGGACUGAGAGGUCGGACGGCCACAUUGGGACUGAGACACGGCCCAAACUCCUACGGGAGGCAGCAGUGGGGGAUAUUGCACAAUGGGCGAAAGCCUGAUGCAGCGACGCCGCCGUGAGUGAAGAAGUAUUUCGGUAUGUAAAGCUCUAUCAGCAGGGAAGAAAGACCCGCAAGGGGGAUGACGGUACCUGACUAAGAAGCCCCGGCUAACUACGUGCCAGCAGCAGC
Molecule: ribosomal RNA, 511 nt
Filed under: uncultured bacterium
Lineage: Bacteria
Description: bacterial SSU rRNA
Rfam family: Bacterial small subunit ribosomal RNA
Source: RNAcentral